This 2012-nucleotide ribosomal RNA is filed under the name Salmonella enterica subsp. enterica serovar Dublin. RNAcentral's name for it is "partial 23S ribosomal RNA". It matches the Rfam family "Bacterial large subunit ribosomal RNA", at positions 107 to 2141 of the family's 2925-position model. The record is from RNAcentral. Lineage: Bacteria; Pseudomonadati; Pseudomonadota; Gammaproteobacteria; Enterobacterales; Enterobacteriaceae.
GCGAUACCCGAAUGGGGAAACCCAGUGUGAUUCGUCACACUAUCAUUAACUGAAUCCAUAGGUUAAUGAGGCGAACCGGGGGAACUGAAACAUCUAAGUACCCCGAGGAAAAGAAAUCAACCGAGAUUCCCCCAGUAGCGGCGAGCGAACGGGGAGGAGCCCAGAGCCUGAAUCAGCAUGUGUGUUAGUGGAAGCGUCUGGAAAGGCGCGCGAUACAGGGUGACAGCCCCGUACACAAAAGCGCAUGUGCUGUGAGCUCGAUGAGUAGGGCGGGACACGUGGUAUCCUGUCUGAAUAUGGGGGGACCAUCCUCCAAGGCUAAAUACUCCUGACUGACCGAUAGUGAACCAGUACCGUGAGGGAAAGGCGAAAAGAACCCCGGCGAGGGGAGUGAAAAAGAACCUGAAACCGUGUACGUACAAGCAGUGGGAGCACAGGUUUACCUGUGUGACUGCGUACCUUUUGUAUAAUGGGUCAGCGACUUAUAUUCUGUAGCAAGGUUAACCGAAUAGGGGAGCCGGAGGGAAACCGAGUCUUAAUUGGGCGUUAAGUUGCAGGGUAUAGACCCGAAACCCGGUGAUCUAGCCAUGGGCAGGUUGAAGGUUGGGUAACACUAACUGGAGGACCGAACCGACUAAUGUUGAAAAAUUAGCGGAUGACCUGUGGCUGGGGGUGAAAGGCCAAUCAAACCGGGAGAUAGCUGGUUCUCCCCGAAAGCUAUUUAGGUAGCGCCUCGUGAAUUCAUCUCCGGGGGUAGAGCACUGUUUCGGCUAGGGGGCCAUCCCGGCUUACCAACCCGAUGCAAACUGCGAAUACCGGAGAAUGUUAUCACGGGAGACACACGGCGGGUGCUAACGUCCGUCGUGAAGAGGGAAACAACCCAGACCGCCAGCUAAGGUCCCAAAGUCAUGGUUAAGUGGGAAACGAUGUGGGAAGGCCCAGACAGCCAGGAUGUUGGCUUAGAAGCAGCCAUCAUUUAAAGAAAGCGUAAUAGCUCACUGGUCGAGUCGGCCUGCGCGGAAGAUGUAACGGGGCUAAACCAUGCACCGAAGCUGCGGCAGCGACGCUUAUGCGUUGUUGGGUAGGGGAGCGUUCUGUAAGCCUGUGAAGGUGUGUCGUGAGGCAUGCUGGAGGUAUCAGAAGUGCGAAUGCUGACAUAAGUAACGAUAAAGCGGGUGAAAAGCCCGCUCGCCGGAAGACCAAGGGUUCCUGUCCAACGUUAAUCGGGGCAGGGUGAGUCGACCCCUAAGGCGAGGCCGAAAGGCGUAGUCGAUGGGAAACGGGUUAAUAUUCCCGUACUUGGUGUUACUGCGAAGGGGGGACGGAGAAGGCUAUGUUGGCCGGGCGACGGUUGUCCCGGUUUAAGCGUGUAGGUGUGUGUUCCAGGUAAAUCCGGUUCACUUUAACACUGAGGCGUGAUGACGAGGCACUACGGUGCUGAAGUAACAAAUGCCCUGCUUCCAGGAAAAGCCUCUAAGCAUCAGGUAACAUCAAAUCGUACCCCAAACCGACACAGGUGGUCAGGUAGAGAAUACCAAGGCGCUUGAGAGAACUCGGGUGAAGGAACUAGGCAAAAUGGUGCCGUAACUUCGGGAGAAGGCACGCUGACACGUAGGUGAAGUGAUUUACUCAUGGAGCUGAAGUCAGUCGAAGAUACCAGCUGGCUGCAACUGUUUAUUAAAAACACAGCACUGUGCAAACACGAAAGUGGACGUAUACGGUGUGACGCCUGCCCGGUGCCGGAAGGUUAAUUGAUGGGGUCAGCGCAAGCGAAGCUCCUGAUCGAAGCCCCGGUAAACGGCGGCCGUAACUAUAACGGUCCUAAGGUAGCGAAAUUCCUUGUCGGGUAAGUUCCGACCUGCACGAAUGGCGUAAUGAUGGCCAGGCUGUCUCCACCCGAGACUCAGUGAAAUUGAACUCGCUGUGAAGAUGCAGUGUACCCGCGGCAAGACGGAAAGACCCCGUGAACCUUUACUAUAGCUUGACACUGAACAUUGAGCCUUGAUGUGUAG